UGACUACUUUAGCUCAUAUGAUGCUGCGAGGGCUAGACAUUCUUAAGGUCCACAGGGGCACCGUGGGAUAAGUAUGUUGAUCUUUAAGGCCUUAGUAGGGGGAUAUUUAGAGGCUGAACGUUUGCAUAAGCAUUUUGCAGAGCAAGGAACUGACAGGAAUGCUUGGGAUCGCCGUUGUAGCAUGUUCCAUCUAGGUGGGGAGCGCCAGCUUUAUGGUUAUUUGGCAGUGAAAAAAGACUUGGAUAUAUUCAAUCGGCAUUCACAAGGCAAAUCUAAGCUGAAAUUUGAGAUGAGAUCAUACCAUGAGAUGGUGGUGAACCAAAUUAAGCAAAUGAGUGAGGACAACCAGCUACUUAUCUGGUUAAAGAACAGGAAUGCUAAACAAGAGAUGGCUAAUAAAGCUUUCUAGGAGAAUUUUGGCAUACUUAGUGAGAAGCUACACAAAACAAUGGAGGAGAAUCGAAUUGUAAGACAGAGAACAAAGACGCAGCAUGAAGAGAACAAGGAAGAGAUGUACAUGCAAGAAAAAAUUUUCAAGGUCAUUCAUGAAUUAAGGGAUGCCAAGGAAGAAAAUUUUGAGAUGCUGCAGCAGGAGCAUGAGAAGGUGAAGCAGGCAAAUGAUGAUCCUUCAAAUGCAGAGGAGUAUAGACGCAAGUAAUUAGAUGAAUAUAGAACAAGAUUGGAAAUUUUGACCAUGGCUGUGGAGAAUUAAUCGCACCUUUAAUGCUGGUUGUUUUGGGAGACCUAUGCUGUGCUUUAAUAGUUUCGGACUUAAAUUUCCAACUUUACUAAUGCAAUUUGAUAUUGUGAACUGCUGGUUGAUGCUUUCUAUCUGGUGUUUCUUAUCUUCACCAACUGGUGGCUAUUAUCCUCAUCAGCUUGCAGCAGUCCUUAUCUUGAUUUAUAUAGUUGUUAUGUUAGAAGAGUUUAUUUUCUUCAUGUCUCUAUUGUAUAUCUGUAUAUAUAUGUUAUACUAUUAAUAAAUAAGUAGUUAAGUUUUCU
Long non-coding RNA from Ziziphus jujuba (common jujube), 1002 nucleotides. RefSeq lists it as uncharacterized. Lineage: Eukaryota; Viridiplantae; Streptophyta; Magnoliopsida; Rosales; Rhamnaceae. The record is from RefSeq and is a predicted model, not a curated record. The transcript is spliced from 3 exons.